Molecule: long non-coding RNA, 305 nt
Organism: Ictalurus punctatus (channel catfish)
Lineage: Eukaryota; Metazoa; Chordata; Actinopteri; Siluriformes; Ictaluridae
Source: Ensembl
CAGGAUUUCCAGUUUCCACUGUGAUCACUGUGUCUGUAAUUCUGCUGCUGCUUCUGAUUGCAAUCAUAUUCCUCACUUUGACUCUACAAAAGAGAUGCAGAGGUACAGCUUCUACUGGCAGGAGUUCUGUCCAAGGCUCAGGAAACAACCAAGGGGUUCCUCUUGAUGACUGUUACUACGAAGAGAUUAAAGACACCAGAAGACUUCCAGCCUCAGAUGAGGAAUCUUCCACAAUUUACUCUACUGCUCAACUACCCACAAUCCUCUCUGAUCCUCAAACUGUUUAUUCAAACACAGAGUUACCC